CAAUCCAUGAGUACAGUGGCGACCGGGUGAGUAACACGUGACUACCUACCCUUGAGUGGGGGAUAACCUCGGGAAACCGAGGCUAAUACCGCAUAAUAUCGAGAGAUCAAAGGAGAAAUCCGCUUUUGGAGGGGGUCGCGGCUGAUUAGCUAGUUGGUAGGGUAAUGGCCUACCAAGGCGAAGAUCGGUAUCCGGCCUGAGAGGGCGCACGGACACACUGGAACUGAAACACGGUCCAG
RNAcentral lists this ribosomal RNA (239 nucleotides) under uncultured bacterium. RNAcentral describes it as "partial 16S ribosomal RNA". It matches the Rfam family "Bacterial small subunit ribosomal RNA", at positions 80 to 334 of the family's 1533-position model. The record is from RNAcentral.